UCAAACUUGGUCAUUUAGAGGAAGUAAAAGUCGUAACAAGGUUUCCGUAGGUGAACCUGCGGAAGGAUCAUUACAAAUCUGGAGGUGGGGUCUGGGUGAGGGGAGUGGGGAGGAGGCUUGGGUACGAAAGUAUCACGACCUGCUCGCCACUCUCCAGGCAGCCGACCCGUGCUCACAUUUGCGCUUGAAGUGUUUGACAGAGUAAUUGUGAUUGUGAAACAGAGACAACUUUUAACAAUGGAUCUCUUGGCUCUUGCAUCGAUGAAGAACGCAGC
RNAcentral lists this unclassified non-coding RNA (275 nucleotides) under uncultured fungus. RNAcentral's name for it is "partial contains small subunit ribosomal RNA, internal transcribed spacer 1, and 5.8S ribosomal RNA". The stretch from base 1 to 73 matches the Rfam family "Eukaryotic small subunit ribosomal RNA", at positions 1759 to 1831 of the family's 1831-position model. The record is from RNAcentral. Lineage: Eukaryota; Fungi.